GAUGAACGCUGGCGGUGUGCCUAAUACAUGCAAGUCGAACGAAGCUUUUUUAACUGGUGCUUGCACCGACUUAAACAACUGAGUGGCGAACGGGUGAGUAACACGUGGGUAACCUGCCCCAAAGCGGGGGAUAACAUUUGGAAACAGAUGCUAAUACCGCAUAACCACAGAAACCACAUGGUUUCUGUGUCAAAGAUGGUUUCGGCUAUCCCUUUGGGAGGGACCCGCGGCGUAUUAGCUAGUUGGUAAGGUAAUGGCUUACCAAGGCAAUGAUACGUAGCCGAACUGAGAGGUUGAUCGGCCACAUUGGGACUGAGACACGGCCCAAACUCCUACGGGAGGCAGCAGUAGGGAAUCUUCCACAAUGGACGAAAGUCUGAUGGAGCAACGCCGCGUGAGUGAAGAAGGUUUUCGGAUCGUAAAACUCUGUUGUCAGAGAAGAACGUGUGCGAGAGUAACUGUUCGUGCAGUGACGGUAUCUGGCCAGAAAGCCACGGCUAACUACGUGCCAGCAGCCGCCGUAA
RNAcentral lists this ribosomal RNA (524 nucleotides) under uncultured bacterium. Its description in RNAcentral is "partial 16S ribosomal RNA". It matches the Rfam family "Bacterial small subunit ribosomal RNA", at positions 28 to 523 of the family's 1533-position model. The record is from RNAcentral.